AUCUAAUUAGUUUAAAAAAAAAUUUAAAUUUGUGGAAUUUAAGAUGAUAAGAAAGUUAUUAGAUA
This 65-nucleotide transfer RNA is filed under the name Lachesilla punctata. RNAcentral's name for it is "tRNA-His". The record is from RNAcentral. Lineage: Eukaryota; Metazoa; Arthropoda; Insecta; Psocodea; Lachesillidae.